GGCCAGUUAGCUCAGUCACUUGAGUGUGACGCUAACAACGUCAAGGUCAUGGGUUCGAUUCCUGUUUGAUCC
This 72-nucleotide transfer RNA is filed under the name Apaloderma vittatum (bar-tailed trogon). It matches the Rfam family "tRNA". Rfam says of the family: Transfer RNA (tRNA) molecules are approximately 80 nucleotides in length. Their secondary structure includes four short double-helical elements and three loops (D, anti-codon, and T loops). Further hydrogen bonds mediate the characteristic L-shaped molecular structure. tRNAs have two regions of fundamental functional importance: the anti-codon, which is responsible for specific mRNA codon recognition, and the 3' end, to which the tRNAs corresponding amino acid is attached (by aminoacyl-tRNA synthetases). tRNAs cope with the degeneracy of the genetic code in two manners: having more than one tRNA (with a specific anti-codon) for a particular amino acid; and 'wobble' base-pairing, i.e. permitting non-standard base-pairing at the 3rd anti-codon position. Lineage: Eukaryota; Metazoa; Chordata; Aves; Trogoniformes; Trogonidae. The record is from Rfam by way of RNAcentral.